CUCCUGCAGGCCCAUGCUGCUGCUGCGGCCCCGCCGCUGCUCAGCCUCCAGCUUCAGGAGCUGCAGGUGCUCCAGCUGCUUUCGGAGGUCCUCGAUCAGCUGCAGGGCAACCGCCAGGCACUGCAACUGCAAAGACAGCCAGCCCUGCUGCUCCCAGGAGGUUCCGAUGCAGGUGCUGGGGGUCCUGCCUCCAGGCCCUCUGCUCCUGAGGGACCCCGGACUGAGACUGUCAUUGCACUGACUGGGGUCUUCCUGUACACCAGAUGGACAGAGGCCAAGCUGGGGAAGUCCCCAAGAUGCCAGAGGCUUCUGUGCUGGGUUGACUGCAGGUUGCUGACCUGGGGCUGCAGGGGCCUCUGAGGGCCUGAGGAGCCCUGAGAACCACAAGGUUGCUGGUGGCCACUCCAAGAAGCUGCAGGAGACUGACAAGGUCCAGAACACGGUGGCACUGUCCCCAAGGGCUUAGGGCGGGUAGGCGGCUUGCUCACAAGAGGCAGUGACACUGGGCCCUGCUUGCUCCCUGAGGGCCUCGUGAGACCCCUAUCUUGUGCCCCUCCACACCAGAGCACACAGAGGAGGCAGGAUGUCCACACAGCUGUGCCUCAACCUCAGCCCCAGUGGACAGGUCCCACGGGAGGUGCUCCCUGGUGCUCACAGACGAGAUACGUACUUUAAUUUGGAGCCCACUCAACUGUACUGUGCCAAGGCCAGGGGAGAACACUGUCCUGGCUGCCCUGACCUUGCUCCCCAGAAGACGGCGCCCCACUGCGAUGGCAGGCACGGAGGCCUCCCUGUGCAGGGCAUCCCGCACAGCUCUCUGCGUGCAGGCUCCUUCCUGCCACCCACUUUUGAAAAUGCCUAGGAGCUCUUCUUAGAUAAGGCAAGUAUCUUAGCUUUAAGAGCUGGAAGGAACACAAGCAAAAGAACCUGAAAUCUCUUUAUGAAUAUUUAAAACAACUGUAUUUCAAAAUCUAAAAGUACUACAUGCUCAGUUUAAAGAAGCCACAUGAGGUGGUUCAGGCCCAUAAUCCCAGCACUUUAAGAGGCUGAGGUGGCUCUGCUGAGAGUAUGGAGAGGAAAAAAAAACGACAACCAAAAACCCCAACAACAGCAACAAAACGAGGCCAAGGUGGGAGAAUCGCUUAAAGCUAAGAGUUCAAGACCAGCCUGGGCAACAUAGCAAGACCUCAUCUCUACCAAAAAUGAAAAGUUAGCCGGGUAUGAUAGAGCACACUUACAGCCCCAGUGACUCGGGGGCUGAAGCAGGAGGAUUGCUUGAGCCCAGGAGUUCAAGGCUACAGUGAGCCAUGACAGAGCCACUGCACUCCAGCCAGGGCACAGAGCAAGACCCCAUCUCAAAACAGACAGACAAACAAAAAACUGUAUAAAACAACUUCCUCCACUCUCACUACCCAGACACACAAGAAGGACAGACAACUCUAGAUUCCUCUGAUUAUAGGUAUUUUAAGUUA
Chlorocebus sabaeus (green monkey) is the source of this 1472-nucleotide non-coding RNA. The record is from RefSeq and is a predicted model, not a curated record. NCBI's taxonomy places the organism in Eukaryota, Metazoa, Chordata, Mammalia, Primates, Cercopithecidae.